ACACAAACAACACAAAAAGUGCCC
RNAcentral lists this non-coding RNA (24 nucleotides) under Arabidopsis thaliana (thale cress). Lineage: Eukaryota; Viridiplantae; Streptophyta; Magnoliopsida; Brassicales; Brassicaceae. The record is from RNAcentral.